This 82-nucleotide transfer RNA is filed under the name Rhipicephalus microplus (southern cattle tick). RNAcentral's name for it is "tRNA-Ser". It matches the Rfam family "tRNA". From Rfam's summary of the family: Transfer RNA (tRNA) molecules are approximately 80 nucleotides in length. Their secondary structure includes four short double-helical elements and three loops (D, anti-codon, and T loops). The record is from Rfam by way of RNAcentral. Lineage: Eukaryota; Metazoa; Arthropoda; Arachnida; Ixodida; Ixodidae.
GCAGGCGUGGCCGAGUGGUUAAGGCGAUGGACUCGAAAUCCAUUGGGGUUUCCCCGCACAGGUUCGAAUCCUGUCGGCUGCG